Non-coding RNA from Paramisgurnus dabryanus, 893 nucleotides. NCBI's taxonomy places the organism in Eukaryota, Metazoa, Chordata, Actinopteri, Cypriniformes, Cobitidae. The record is from RefSeq and is a predicted model, not a curated record.
UUUAAUACGGUUCCGGAAAAAUCCAGUCAGAAGUUGUUCACGGAGUUUUCACAAUAACUGCUUCUCAUGAACCGAAGCUGGAUUUGCGCGACGUAUCCUCUUGAAAGUUGGAUUACUGUGCACUUCUGGAUCACAGGCUAUUCGCAGCUGGACACAUCCUUCUACACUGUAUGCAAACAUGCAACAUCAUAACACACAGUACAAGGAGUCAGACUGGCAUAUGAGGAGCAAAGGAACCCAGGCAGUAGCAUCGUUUCACAAUGUUUCCAUCACCAUCAUCAGUGGAUGCCUUUGCUGUCCGUAGCCUGAGAUUUCAGAUUUGCAGCAAAAAAAUUUGAUUUUCUCAUUUAUUGGAAUGCUGUGCAGGUAUUUGUACCUUGCAGCCAUCCAUUACAAUGUCACCAAGCCGUAACAAAAGCAGGAGAGGGAAAGUACAAGGCUAUGUUCCCAAAACACACAAGUGACAUACCUUAUGUGGAUGAUGUGAUCAGGCUUGUAUUUGAUGAGGUAUUUGAAGAUAAGCUGAAGGAAGCCCUGAUUCCAAUGGACCUGGCAUCACAGUUUGAGAGACCUUCAAAGGAGGACGUGAUUGCAUGCCAUCUUCAGUGCAGGGGUCGUCGAAAGCCAAAAUUGUGACCGAUCUGAUCAGGAAGCUCCAAGCGUAUCUGGAGAACAACACACGACAGGAUGAUAACCUUAUAGUGUUGUCUUAAAUAGCACCAGCUGACAAAGCUUUGAUAUGCCAUUUAUCUGAAUAGAUAGCUGUAAGAAAUGAAUUGAACAAUUUUUGAAAGAAUAGCACAAUAUGGUUACUAAAGUAUGUUUAUUUGUAUAUUGUUUAACAUUUAAAUAUAUAUUUGUAAUAAAUAAAAAAAACUUUUGACUGACUAUUA